AAGAAUUACAGGCUCACUGCAAGGUCAAGAAAAGAGUUUUCAUCAUUAUUAUUUUAAACCAAGAUGCGUCCUCAGAUAGUCUAACUGAAAGUAAACAGUCUGCACACAACAACAGAGGGUUUUUGAAAAGAAGAGAACUGUGGCGUCAAAGAAGGUAUAUGAACUGGUGAGGGUACUUAAGCAGAAUGCUUUAAAAGGAUGAAAGAGAAACCAGAGGAAAUUGAGUUGUCUCAAAUCAUCAUCAUCGCUGAGCCUGAUAAUCACCAACAUGUAUCCAAUGAGCUUGUCACAGUACAUGAUAUUUUACAAUAUGGAAAGCCAAACGAGAUAGAACAGCCUGAUUAUUUUUACUUGGCUCUCUUCGCCUGCUUGUGUUGCUUUUUCCCGGUUGGUAUUUGCGCCCUCACAAAGUCCAUUAAGGUAAAGAGGUACAUGUCAUCUGGGCAGACAUCGAAUGCAGUACUCGCCUCUCAUGAUGCUCGUUAUUAUACAUCCGUCGCUAUUGGGGUUGGUUCAGCCUUUCUUUUGACCUCCGUCUGUGCAUUUAUCGUCAUAUAUGCGGCAUUCCGUACGUUAUGAAAAUAACUAUACUUAAACGAGUCAUAUAUGUGGCCAUCCAUGAUGAUAAUAAUAAAGGGAAGGGAUAAAGAGGAUGCACAGAUAAAAAAUAAAUGUUUUAACAUAAUUACAAGAACUAUGAUAAUACGAGCGCGAAGCGCGUUUUUUUGGUCGGAUUGAGACCCAAAAAGCAGGAAAAUUUUAAGCUUUUUUGUUAUCAUAAACGGGAGACCUUUCUGACAAUUAGAUAUUGCGAACGCGAAGCGCGAGCUUGAAAUUUUUAAUAUUCAUAAAUGAAAAGCGAUUGUUUGUAGGAAUUCAAGAAAAAACAGGCCCAAGUAUUUCAUUAAUGACAUUUUCAGCGAGAAGCGCAAGCUUAAAAACUGUUAUAUUCAGACCUGAAACUUUACAUUUUUUAAAAUAAUUCAUGAAUAGCAUAUACAUAGAUUGUUGUAGCCCAGUGGAUUAUUCUUCUGACUUUGAAACAGAGGGUCGCAGCAAGAAACUCAUCCACAUUGUACUGCACUCAACCCAGGUACCGGUAGGAAGAAAUUCCUUGCAUGCUUGAGCGCCUAGGCAGCUGAGCUAAAGCCGGGUUAAUAGGGUCCGCUGGGAGAACAGUUUUCGGAACAGAAGUGUCUACCGUUGGUAAAUAUGUUAUUAUCAUUAUCAUUACGUAUCUCACCAUUAAACCAAGGUGAGCGAGAAGGGGGCAGGUUUUUUUUACACAUAUAUGUUUUUCAAUUUUGAAGAUGUUUUUCAAAUAGUUUUGUGUAUGUGUCUCUCUGUCUUGCAAAUAAUUGUAUUAUAUUGGAUGGCUUUAUUUCAUGGAAUACCAGAAAUAUUCCAAAAGUUAGUGAAAAUAUUCCACAAAUCGCAGAUGAGUGGAAUAUUGGCCCUAAUGAGUGAAAUAUGUCUGGUAUUCCAUGAAAUAAAGCCAUCCAAUAUAACUAUUAUCAUCUAUCCCACCCCUAGCAACCAAAAAGAGAGACAGAAAUUUAAUUGAACAAGUCAUAUCAACUUAUCACAUAGUGGCAUCAUCACUUUAUAAUAUCAAAUUUGGUCGUUGACAUGCGACUUGCAUGUAGUUCAUUAUGAUGUAAUUGAGUGUCGGUGUGCUCUUAUGCUGCGCAUCGCAUUGCUUUGUUGUUUUUUGUCUACGUUUCAUUGUUUUACACGUUCUAUAUUUCACGCAUUCGCGCAUGCGCGCUAUUCUGUUGAAUACGCUCUCAUAGUCAAUAGCAAAUUUUGUACUGGAGCCUAUAUUCUUUGGAUUUCGGUCAUUCUAGGAAUACGCUCUGAUACUGUACAGGCAAUUGAUGCAGCCCAAAAUACGCGUUUCUUAGGUUUGGCUAAAACGCUUUAUAUGGAUGAUAAUAUUUUAUGUAAUUUUUAAUGUUUAUUUAAUUUAUCAUGUUUAUUAUACCCUUUCUUAGUUCGCUUAAAUGAUGUAUAACGUUUUCUAAUGUAUCUUUGCACUGUAUAUGUAUGUUUCUCAGGACUAUGUCUUACAAGCUGUGCUUUUAAUAGAUCACCUCACUUCUGCAUUUUGAUUUUUGUUAAUUUAUUGUUACUACAUUGAUGACAUGUAUAAUAUUUUGUAGAAAUGAAAAUGAACUUGAAACUUGACUUAAAUUAGAGAGGUAUAUAGCUCUUUAUGAUUGAGUUAUUAAAAUAAAAAGAAACUAGAAUGUAUUUACAUGGAAUGUUUUCAAUUUGCAAUUAAACUUAAAGUACAUUGUAUUGCGAAAUAAUCGAAAACAUUUUUUUUUCUCCUCCUGAUUACGAAUUGUCACACUUAGAAACAGAAUAACAUAUUGCUCUUAUACCGCUAUUCUCUGUUGAUAUCCUAAUACUUUGCAUUCAUGUUACCACUUACGUUUUCACUGAAUUCAUUCUCAUUGAGAUUGGUGAAUAAUAUACUUCAAAAACACAUAUUACAAUCACUACAAAUCUUUUAACAGACAUAUUUCUUUUUGUGAGCAGAUAUUAAAACUAGCAAAUCAAUGAUGUGGAGCUCAUCCGGCAUCUCGCCAUGAAAUUUCACACAAUUUUAAUUUCAGCCCAGUUGACACUGAA
Molecule: long non-coding RNA, 2637 nt
Filed under: Lytechinus variegatus (green sea urchin)
Lineage: Eukaryota; Metazoa; Echinodermata; Echinoidea; Temnopleuroida; Toxopneustidae
Description: uncharacterized LOC121409646
Source: RNAcentral